Molecule: ribosomal RNA, 428 nt
Filed under: uncultured bacterium
Lineage: Bacteria
Description: partial 16S ribosomal RNA
Rfam family: Bacterial small subunit ribosomal RNA
Source: RNAcentral
GUAGGGAAUAUUGCGCAAUGGACGAAAGUCUGACGCAGCGACGCCGCGUGAGUGAUGAAGGACUUAGGGUCGUAAAGCUCUGUUGAAUGGUAAGAAAAAAAUGACGGUACCAUUCGAGGAAGGACCGGCUAACUUCGUGCCAGCAGCCGCGGUAAUACGAGGGGUCCUAGCGUUGUUCGGAAUCAUUGGGCGUAAAGGGUGUGUAGGUGGCCAUGUAAGUCAUGUGUGAAAGCCCCGGGCUCAACCCGGGAAGUGCACUUGAUACUGCGUGGCUUGAGUACCGAAGAGGGUAGUGGAAUACCAGGUGUAGUGGUGAAAUACGUAGAUAUCUGGAGGAACACCGGUGGCGAAGGCGGCUACCUGGUCGAGUACUGACACUGAGACACGAAAGCAUGGGGAUCAAACAGGAUUAGAUACCCGGGUAGUCC